RNAcentral lists this unclassified non-coding RNA (302 nucleotides) under Bombus terrestris (buff-tailed bumblebee). RNAcentral's name for it is "misc RNA ENSBTSG00005024912.1". Lineage: Eukaryota; Metazoa; Arthropoda; Insecta; Hymenoptera; Apidae. The record is from RNAcentral.
GAAAACAGCUGUCCACGCAACGAAAUCGCUGCGGAUUGGGUCACUUGUGACGUCGUUUACAGCCGGGAAACCAAGGGGCAUUAGCGUUCUAACACCACCGUUAACGAAGACAAAGUAGAGGAAGCCUCUUAAGCCCCGAAGCUUAGCUCGAACAGUACUGUUUUAGAUGCUACAGCAUCCCAUCCGACGUUCAUCGUCCAACUCGAACAAGUCGAUUGUUCCACUCGCGCGUAUCACUCGAUUGCAAACGAAUCACGUGAGAAGCAGAAUCGAACUUGUUUUCCAAUAACUGACAAUGUUGC